AAAAACCAACAGGGGUAUUGGCCUUAUUAACGGCGAGUGAAGCGGCAAAAGCUCAAAUUUGAAAUCUCACCUAUUGUGCGAGUUGUAAAUUGCAGGUUGGAGUCUCGGGUUAAACGUGUGUGCAAGUCCCUUGGAACAGGGGGCCACUGAGGGUGAGAGCCCCGUAUCGUGCAUGUCGACCCCUGUGAGGCCCUUCUGACGAGUCAAGUUGUUUGGGAAUGCAGCUCUAAGUGGGUGGUAAAUUCCAUCUAAGGCUAAAUAUUGGCGAGAGACCGAUAGCGAACAAGUACUGUGAAGGAAAGAUGAAAAGCACUUUGAAAAGAGAGUGAAACAGCACGUGAAAUUGUUGAAAGGGAAGGGUAUUGGGCUCGACAUGGGAUUUACGCAUCGUUGCCUCUCGUGGGCGGCGCUCUGGGUUUUUCCUGGGCCAGCAUCGGUUUUCGUUGCAGGAUAAGGACAAUUGGAAUGUGGCUCCUCGGAGUGUUAUAGCCUUUUGUAUAUGCUGCGUAUGGGGACCGAGGGCUGCGGCGGACUCUUUUCGUCUCGGAUGCUGGCACAACGGCGCAAUACCGCCCGUCUUGAAACAAGGACCAAAAA
Molecule: ribosomal RNA, 597 nt
Filed under: Pichia kluyveri
Lineage: Eukaryota; Fungi; Ascomycota; Pichiomycetes; Pichiales; Pichiaceae
Description: eukaryotic LSU rRNA
Rfam family: Eukaryotic large subunit ribosomal RNA
Source: RNAcentral